RNAcentral lists this ribosomal RNA (253 nucleotides) under uncultured bacterium. RNAcentral's name for it is "partial 16S ribosomal RNA". It matches the Rfam family "Bacterial small subunit ribosomal RNA", at positions 524 to 776 of the family's 1533-position model. The record is from RNAcentral.
UACAGAGGGUGCAAACGUUGCUCGGAAUUAUUGGGCGUAAAGCGCGUGUAGGCGGCUUGGUAAGUCGACUGUGAAAGCCCUUGGCUCAACCAAGGAAGUGCAGUCGAAACUGCCGAGCUUGAGUCCCGAAGAGGGUGGCGGAAUGCCCAGUGUAGAGGUGAAAUUCGUAGAUAUUGGGUAGAACACCAGUGGCGAAGGCGGCCACCUGGGAGGCGACUGACGCUGAGACGCGAAAGCGUGGGGAGCGAACAGG